UGGGGAAUUUUGGACAAUGGGGGAAACCCUGAUCCAGCCAUCCCGCGUGUGCGAUGAAGGCCUUCGGGUUGUAAAGCACUUUUGGCAGGGAAAGAAACGUCGCGGGUUAAUACCCCGCGAAACUGACGGUACCUGCAGAAUAAGCACCGGCUAACUACGUGCCAGCAGCCGCGGUAAUACGUAGGGUGCAAGCGUUAAUCGGAAUUACUGGGCGUAAAGCGUGCGCAGGGCGGUUUCGGAAAGAAAGAUGUGAAAUCCCAGAGCUUAACUUUGGAGCUGCAUUUUUAACUACCGGGCUAGAGUGUGUCAGAGGGAGGUGGAAUUCCGCGUGUAGCAGUGAAAUGCGUAGAUAUGCGGAGGAACACCGAUGGCGAAGGCAGCCUCCUGGGAUAACACUGACGCUCAUGCACGAAAGCGUGGGGAGCAAACAGGAUUAGAUACCC
RNAcentral lists this ribosomal RNA (443 nucleotides) under uncultured bacterium. Its description in RNAcentral is "partial 16S ribosomal RNA". It matches the Rfam family "Bacterial small subunit ribosomal RNA", at positions 355 to 787 of the family's 1533-position model. The record is from RNAcentral.